CCUACGGGAGGCAGCAGUGGGGAAUUUUGGACAAUGGGCGCAAGCCUGAUCCAGCAAUGCCGCGUGCAGGAUGAAGGCCUUCGGGUUGUAAACUGCUUUUGUACGGAACGAAACGGCUCUUUCUAAUAAAGAGAGCUAAUGACGGUACCGUAAGAAUAAGCACCGGCUAACUACGUGCCAGCAGCCGCGGUAAUACGUAGGGUGCGGGCGUUAAUCGGAAUUACUGGGCGUAAAGCGUGCGCAGGCGGUUAUAUAAGACAGAUGUGAAAUCCCCGGGCUCAACCUGGGACCUGCAUUUGUGACUGUAUAGCUAGAGUACGGUAGAGGGGGAUGGAAUUCCGCGUGUAGCAGUGAAAUGCGUAGAUAUGCGGAGGAACACCGAUGGCGAAGGCAAUCCCCUGGACCUGUACUGACGCUCAUGCACGAAAGCGUGGGGAGCAAACAGGAUUAGAUACCCUGGUAGUCCACGCCCUAAACGAUGUCAACUGGUUNUUGGGUCUUCACUGACUCAGUAACGAAGCUAACGCGUGAAGUUGACCGCCUGGGGAAUCGGCCGCAGUUGAAACUCAAAGGAUUG
RNAcentral lists this ribosomal RNA (577 nucleotides) under uncultured bacterium. RNAcentral's name for it is "bacterial SSU rRNA". It matches the Rfam family "Bacterial small subunit ribosomal RNA", at positions 338 to 911 of the family's 1533-position model. The record is from RNAcentral.